Molecule: long non-coding RNA, 1635 nt
Filed under: Lactuca sativa (garden lettuce)
Lineage: Eukaryota; Viridiplantae; Streptophyta; Magnoliopsida; Asterales; Asteraceae
Description: long non-coding RNA (LSAT_LNC008407)
Source: RNAcentral
AAUGGUUUGAGUAUAUUGUAGGUCUGUAUAGUUGUAUUUUAGUCUUGUUUUGAUGUUUAUGAUAAGGGUUUUUUGGGGGUUUUGAUGAUAUUGCGUUGGGUAUUUUGAAAUUUGAAGAUUACACGUUUCUUGCACUUGAAUAUGAUCGGUUUAAGCUUCAUAAGAAACGAUCGCGAGACAUUACGCUAAUGCGAUUGGAACUGUUUUUGAUAAUAUCAAAGGAGUUAUAGAUUGAAAGUGGGUGUUCUCUGGGAAUCGAAGUAAUUACUUUGUACAAAAAUUAGGUGGUGUGUGGACUUUGGAUGUGCAUUUUCAAAAUUGGGUAUUCAGUUAAUCAUGUUUAAAUAAUUAGUCGAUCUGAAUCUGAAUCGAUUAACAUGUUAAUCACUCCAAACUGAAGUUUUUAUAAUCCAAUCCAAAUAACCCCCUUAAAUGAACUAAUUUUUUUGUUAUACUUUGAUUAGUGUUUGAUUAGGUUUUUUUAUGUAUCUGCAAUUGGGUAUUUUUCAGAAUGAGAAGUUUCUUGAAUAAAACUUUACUUUAAAUGAAGUUUUUUGAGGGAUCAAAGUUUAUUUUCGUUCAAGAAAUUUGUAUAAAAGAGUGAUGAGUGAUGUUUAAUCUUCUUUAUGAUCAAUGAAUCUUAUGGCAUUCUUGUCAUCUUUUUUUUUCGUUUAUGCUAAAUGCAAGAUAUAGCAAUGUACCUUCCAAAUUCUUAUAUCAUAGCAAUGUGCAUUACUAUAUCUUGUAUUUAGCCAUUUUCUUUUCAAAUUUUUUUGAAAUAAAUCUUAGAAAAGUGUUUAUUAUUGAUUUAGGUUUGGUGUUAUGCUUUAAGCUCUUUAUAUGGCCUACCCUGGUGUCCUAAAAUCAAUUUAUGCGGUUGUUGUUUGGAUUGCUUCAUAUGCUCUUGUUGCAAUUAUUGGAUUAUUUCAAGUCUCGACUUUUAUUGGUUCAUCUAUUUUCAAUCGAUAAAGUACUUUGAAGGGGUAGAAGGGGCAAAAGGGCAAUAAAAAGAUCAAGGAAUAAUGAAAAAGGUGAUUUUUUUUUUCUUUAUGAAACAUUUUCCUUUUGAUCUUUUUGUGAUUUUGAGUGAAUUUGAUUGUGUAUCAGGUGGAUGUAUAUGGCAUGGUUUUACACAAAUGGACAUUGAAGAGAAAAGAUUUAGACCAAAAGGAUUUGUUGAGAGUGUUUUUUGUUCUUUUGGUAUGAGUUUUGGUGUGUGAGAGAUGUGUCGUAUGUGGGAUUCACUUUUUUUCAAGGAUCUUUUGAGGAAUUUAUUCAUUGAGUUUUGAUUUGGUUCAAGUGGUUUUAAAAACCUAGUCAUUGUUGGCUUGAACAAAGUGUUUUGUCUAGACAUAAUAUAUAUAAUAAAAGAUGAUAUUCUUGACAGUUUCUAUUUGUGCGUUGUAGUUUUUAGAAGGCAUUGACUAUGAUUUGAAAACCUAGGGUCUAUAAGAUGCAAUUGAUUAAGAUGAUUAUGUUGACUUAAAUUUAGUAGUUCUUUUUGUUCAUAAAAAGUCAAACAUAUCAUUUCUUAUAUGUCAUCGACUACUUCUCACAUUAUUAUAAACUUGUGGCAUAAAAGAUUUGAUCAUGGUUGGUUCCUUAAACCGAUAAAUUUAUGGUGUUAGAGGUAGC